ACACUCCUACGGGAGGCAGCAGUGGGGAAUAUUGCACAAUGGGCGCAAGCCUGAUGCAGCCAUGCCGCGUGUAUGAAGAAGGCCUUCGGGUUGUAAAGUACUUUCAGCGGGGAGGAAGGCGAUAAGGUUAAUAACCUUGUUGAUUGACGUUACCCGCAGAAGAAGCACCGGCUAACUCCGUGCCAGCAGCCGCGGUAAUACGGAGGGUGCAAGCGUUAAUCGGAAUUACUGGGCGUAAAGCGUACGCAGGCGGUCUGUCAAGUCGGAUGUGAAAUCCCCGGGCUCAACCUGGGAACUGCAUUCGAAACUGGCAGGCUAGAGUCUUGUAGAGGGGGGUAGAAUUCCAGGUGUAGCGGUGAAAUGCGUAGAGAUCUGGAGGAAUACCGGUGGCGAAGGCGGCCCCCUGGACAAAGACUGACGCUCAGGUGUGAAAGCGUGGGGAGCAAACAGGAUUAGAUACCCGAGUAGUCCCAUGAU
RNAcentral lists this ribosomal RNA (477 nucleotides) under uncultured organism. RNAcentral describes it as "partial 16S ribosomal RNA". It matches the Rfam family "Bacterial small subunit ribosomal RNA", at positions 333 to 801 of the family's 1533-position model. The record is from RNAcentral.